GAUGAACGCUGGCGGCGUGCCUAAUACAUGCGAGUCGAGCGAACAGACGAGGAGCUUGCUCCUCUGACGUUAGCGGCGGACGGGUGAGUAACACGUGGAUAACCUACCUAUAAGACUGGGAUAACUUCGGGAAACCGGAGCUAAUACCGGAUAAUAUAUUGAACCGCAUGGUUCAAUAGUGAAAGACGGUUUUGCUGUCACUUAUAGAUGGAUCCGCGCCGCAUUAGCUAGUUGGUAAGGUAACGGCUUACCAAGGCGACGAUGCGUAGCCGACCUGAGAGGGUGAUCGGCCACACUGGAGCUGAGACACGGUCCGGACUCCUACGGGAGGCAGCAGUAGGGAAUCUUCCGCAAUGGGCGAAAGCCUGACGGAGCAACGCCGCGUGAGUGAUGAAGGUCUUCGGAUCGUAAAACUCUGUUAUUAGGGAAGAACAAAUGUGUAAGUAACUAUGCACGUCUUGACGGUACCUAAUCAGAAAGCCACGGCUAACUACGUG
RNAcentral lists this ribosomal RNA (497 nucleotides) under uncultured bacterium. RNAcentral describes it as "partial 16S ribosomal RNA". It matches the Rfam family "Bacterial small subunit ribosomal RNA", at positions 28 to 507 of the family's 1533-position model. The record is from RNAcentral.